UUUAUUUUAUUUUUUAACUCCUUUAUAAUGUUUUUUGUAUACAUAUGUAUUUAUACAUAUAUUUUUUAAUUAUUUAAAGGAAAACAAUGAAAUUAUAUUAUGUGUGGCUUACCAUGUAAAUUGACAAUUGAAAAAAGUUCUAUAGAUUUAUCACAGAACAUACUAGAGCUAGUCUAUAAAUUAUUAAAAGGGUCAAGGAUAUAUAAAAAAAACAUAUCCUUAGCAUUGUUUUAUUUUCACUUUUUUUAUUCCUAUCUUUCUUUUUUUUUAUUUAUUAUUGCCAUUUGUUUCUUGCCACCUAUUAUAGCGGUAAUAGGAAAAGAAAAAGCAAAAAAUGACAUCAUACGAUGUUUAAUAUGUAUGUGUGUAUAUAGCUAAAUACAUGCUUACGUACUUGUUACCAUUAUCAUUAUUGCUAUUACAAUUUUUAUUUUAUUUUUAUGUUUGUAGGUUGUUGAUUAUUUAUUGUUUAUUUUUAUAAUAAUACCAGUACUUUCGGUGAUCCUCUUAAACAAUAACAACAAUUCUACAAUAAUGAACGACAUUCCAGAUAAAAAUAUAAAAAAAGAUGCAGUUAUUAAGUCUUUGGUAAAAAAUAAAAAAAUAAAAAAAAUUAAAAAAAUAAAUGAA
RNAcentral lists this long non-coding RNA (630 nucleotides) under Piliocolobus tephrosceles (Ugandan red Colobus). RNAcentral's name for it is "lncRNA (ENSPTEG00000003719.1)". Lineage: Eukaryota; Metazoa; Chordata; Mammalia; Primates; Cercopithecidae. The record is from RNAcentral.